Tachysurus fulvidraco (yellow catfish) is the source of this 548-nucleotide long non-coding RNA. RefSeq lists it as uncharacterized. The record is from RefSeq and is a predicted model, not a curated record. Lineage: Eukaryota; Metazoa; Chordata; Actinopteri; Siluriformes; Bagridae. The transcript has 3 exons.
GUGUGUGUGUGUGUGUGUGUGUGUGUGUGUGUGUGUGUGUGUGUGUGUGUGUGUGUGUGUGAAAGAGAGAGGUGAAAAGCAUUCCCAGGAGUCUCGUUACCUCAAAGGUCUCAGAGAUUGUUUAGCGGUCAGGGUUAAGGUGAAGGGUUCAGCAUCAGCAGACUGGGAAAAUAAGCACUUGCAUUCGAAAAUCACAGUUCCGUCAGAUGAAUCACGUUGUAGAAACCUGGUGUGAGAAAAUGCAGGUUCUUCAAAGUAGCCACCUUUUGCUUUGAUUACUGCUUUGCACACUCUUGGCAUUGAUGAGCUUCAAGAGGUCGUCACCUGAAAUGGUCUUCCAACAGUCUUGAAGGAGUUCCCAGAGAUGCUUAGCACUUGUUGGUCCUUUUGCCUUCAUUCUGCGGUCCAGCUCCAAACCAUCUUGAUUGGGUUCAGGUCUGGUGACUGUGGAGGCCAGGUCAUCUGGCGCAGCACCCCAUCACUCUCCUUCAUGGUCAAAUAGCCCUUACACAGCCUGGAGGUGUGUUUGGGGUCAUUGUCCUGUUGAA